AACGCGAAGAACCUUACCCAGACUUGACAUGCAGAUGACAGUCCUAGAAAUAGGAUCUUCCUUCGGGACAUCUGCACAGGUGCUGCAUGGCUGUCGUCAGCUCGUGCCGUGAGGUGUUUGGUUAAGUCCAGCAACGAGCGCAACCCUUAUCAUUAGUUGCCAACAUUUAAGGUGGGAACUCUAAUGAGACUGCCUGGGUUAACCAGGAGGAAGGUGAGGAUGACGUCAAGUCCGCAUGGCCCUUAUGUCUGGGGCCACACACGUGCUACAAUGGUCGGUACAGAAGGCAGCAAAGCCGCGAGGUAGAGCAAAUCCCAAAAACCGAUCUCAGUUCAGAUUGUAGUCUGCAACUCGACUACAUGAAGACGGAAUUGCUAGUAAUGGCGAGUCAGCCACAUCGCCGUGAAUACGUUCCCGGGCCUUGUACACACCGCACGA
Molecule: ribosomal RNA, 438 nt
Filed under: uncultured bacterium
Lineage: Bacteria
Description: bacterial SSU rRNA
Rfam family: Bacterial small subunit ribosomal RNA
Source: RNAcentral